This 1425-nucleotide long non-coding RNA is filed under the name Macaca fascicularis (crab-eating macaque). Its description in RNAcentral is "lncRNA (ENSMFAG00000051672.1)". The record is from RNAcentral. Lineage: Eukaryota; Metazoa; Chordata; Mammalia; Primates; Cercopithecidae.
CUAUCCCCAGAGGUAGAGUCUACAGAGUUAGGCAGGCCUCCUUGAGCUGCUGUGAGCUGCACCCAGUUCAAGCUUCCCAGUGGCUUUGUUUAUCUACUUAAGCCUCAGCAAUGGCGGGUGCCCCUUCCCCAGCCUGGCUGCUGCCUUGCAGUUAGAUCACAGACUGCUGUGCUAGCAAUGAGGGAGGCUCCGUGGGCGUGGGGCCCUCCUGGCCAGGUGUGGGAUAUAAUUUCCUCACGUGCCAUUUGCUAACACCCUUGGUAAAGCACAAUAUUGGGGUGGGAGUUACUCGAUUUUCCAGGUGUUGUGUGCCUCAAUUUCCUUCAGCUAAGAAAAGGAAUUCCCUUCCCCCUUGCAGUUCCCAGGUGAGGCAAUGCCUCACCCUGCUUCAGCUCUCACUGGUUGGGCUGCAGCAGCUGACCAGCACAGAUUAUCCGGCACUCCCUAGUGAGAUGAACGUGGUACCUCUGUUGAAAAUGCAGAAAUCAACCCUCUUCUGUAUCGCUGGCACUGGGAGUUGGAGACUGGAGCUGAUCCUAUUUGGCCAUCUUGCUCUGCCCCCUCUGAGUAGUUAACUUUUUUUAUGGAACCUGCAUAAUCUAGUAUCUGGGCCUUCAGCCAUGCUGAAUGCUCAAUCUGAAAUGAUUCAAAAUAGGAAAAGAAAUUAUUGUAAAACAAAUCACAGCCUGCUUCCAAAGGAAAAGUUUUUUGUUUUUGUUUUUUUAAUCCUGUUUGUACUCUUUUAGUUGAGAAGAUUUAUGCCAGUAAAUGACAGGGUCGUUAGUUUAAAAAUUACAAACAGAAGACAAACAAGUUAUAUUUCACAGAUUUCACCAUCUUUUUCAUUCAUAUCAAAAAAUUCUGGGGCAUGUGGGCAGAAUACACAGUGAUUGAUUGUAAUCCUCAAGAAUCAAAAGGUAAGAGUGGAUAAAACCGGAUACUCCAAAACUUUUACAUUUAGGUGUGUUUGUUUUCUUCUCCAUGUUAUUACUAUUAUGAAUAUAAUAUCAUAUUAUUACUAGAGAAUUUUUUCAAAUUACAAAGAAUACCUUUAUUGUAUUUGGGGGUAUAAUGUUGGAUGUUGAAAUCAAUCUGAUUUACACAGAUGUGACUUGGGUCAAGUUUACAUAUUAACGAAGUGUACUGGUAUGGAAGUGUAACUGGCAAGAAGCAAUACUCACUUCAUCUUGCAGUUGUUUUGCAGAGCUGGCCUGUGAUUUUCGAACUCCUCACACUCGGCUACCAUAGCAUUUCCUGCUUUCUGCAGUUCUUUCUGAAAUACCACAAUUUCACAAGCCAGCUAAACUAGACCUAAGAAGAUCAAAAGAUAUCCUAGUUAUUAUCAAGCUUAAGUUUUCUUAUUCUUUUAACAAAAACAUUUAAAGUGGUUUUACAUUGUUUCUUUUCUUGGUACUCAUGCAAUAA